RNAcentral lists this transfer RNA (83 nucleotides) under Candidatus Falkowbacteria bacterium RBG_13_39_14. RNAcentral's name for it is "tRNA-Tyr". It matches the Rfam family "tRNA". Rfam says of the family: Transfer RNA (tRNA) molecules are approximately 80 nucleotides in length. Their secondary structure includes four short double-helical elements and three loops (D, anti-codon, and T loops). Lineage: Bacteria; Candidatus Falkowiibacteriota. The record is from RNAcentral.
GGGUAGGUGGCAGAGCGGUCAAUUGCACCAGACUGUAAAUCUGGCGCCUCGCGGCUACGCAGGUUCGAAUCCUGCCCUGCCCA